GAGUAAUAAUUAGGGUUUUGAUUUUUAACGGAAAAAAAGUUCUCCGAAGUCUUUAUAUCAUACACAGAUUACUUAACUGUCAUCUCCCUGAAUCAGAAAUCCAGCAGCUCUGUAGAAAUUCAACUUCUAUCUUCCUCAAUCAACCUACUCUUCUCCCAUCAAAGUUUGUGGUGAUUCUCAUGGCCAGUAUACAGAUCUUCUCCGUCUUUUGAAUUUGCCGGACCGCCUCCUGAGUCAAACUACUUGUUCCUAAGCGACUACGUUGACCGAGGGGAACACAUCACAGAGACAAUUUGCCUUCUCCUUGCAUACAAAAUCAGGGCUUGCGAUGGGCCAUUGGUAACGGGGAGCAGGUAGAUGUGUGGAGGGAUGUGUGGUGUGGUGAUGAACCUAUGCUACAGUUGAUUAUGUUGUAAAUUUUUCAUGCCAGUAUUUAUAGUAUGAGAGGGCUAAAACUUGAUAGAUUACUCAAAGUGGAAUACUAAAAUCUGGAUUACAGUGUACUGUAGAGGGCAAGAAAGAUUUGAUGUUUAUUAAAA
This is a long non-coding RNA of Papaver somniferum (opium poppy), 539 nucleotides long. RefSeq lists it as uncharacterized. The transcript has 2 exons. NCBI's taxonomy places the organism in Eukaryota, Viridiplantae, Streptophyta, Magnoliopsida, Ranunculales, Papaveraceae. The record is from RefSeq and is a predicted model, not a curated record.